This 247-nucleotide ribosomal RNA is filed under the name uncultured bacterium. RNAcentral's name for it is "partial 16S ribosomal RNA". It matches the Rfam family "Bacterial small subunit ribosomal RNA", at positions 523 to 769 of the family's 1533-position model. The record is from RNAcentral.
AAACGUAGGUGGCAAGCGUUGUCCGGAAUUACUGGGUGUAAAGGGAGCGCAGGCGGACCGGCAAGUUGGAAGUGAAAACUAUGGGCUCAACCCAUAAACUGCUUUCAAAACUGCUGGCCUUGAGUAGUGCAGAGGUAGGCGGAAUUCCCGGUGUAGCGGUGGAAUGCGUAGAUAUCGGGAGGAACACCAGUGGCGAAGGCGGCCUACUGGGCACCAACUGACGCUGAGGCUCGAAAGUGUGGGUAGC